This 2307-nucleotide ribosomal RNA is filed under the name Triticum aestivum (bread wheat). RNAcentral describes it as "partial small subunit ribosomal RNA". The record is from RNAcentral. Lineage: Eukaryota; Viridiplantae; Streptophyta; Magnoliopsida; Poales; Poaceae.
AUGGCCAAGGAGAAGACGGCGGCGCUGGAACGCGCGAAGAAGGCGUCGGCGACGGAGAAGGCGAAGGGGAGAUCCACCAGCCGUGGCGGGUCUUCGUCUAGAUCCCGCCUGCCGAAGGGCUGGGUCCAAGGAGAUUGGAUCCAGUCGACCAUCACGGAGAAAGAUCUCCUCGACAUGGCCAACGAGGGUCUGAUCCCUCAUGGAGCUGCGAGGCUUCCGGGGAAGGAGUGGCAGCCCCAGCCAGAAGAGGGUGAGUGCGUGCUCCUGGCUACCCAUGUCGACCGUGGAUUUUCUUUGCCGCCGAGUAUUUUCUUCCGUGGUUUCUUGAACUUCUUUGGAGCGCAGCUCCACCACUUUACCCCAAAUUCUAUCGCCUAUCUUGCCGCGUUCGUGUCCAUGUGUGAGGGUUUUCUGGGCUGUCGACCGCACUGGGGCUUGUUCAAGCAUAUAUUCACGUGUUGCUCUCAGACCGUGAAGAAGGCGAGCCCAGGCGACGAAAGAACCCGAGUUGUCCAAAUGUGUGGGGGCCUGGGGAUCCAGGUGAGGAAUAAGAGCACCUUCCCAGCCAUGACUUUUCCCGAGUCAGUCAGAGGCUGGCAGUCGACCUGGUUCUACUGCCAGGAUCAGUCGACGCCGGGGCAGUCGAGUGGACUCCCUCAGUUUACCAUGGACCGAGUGAACAAGCCCUCCUCUCUGAAGUUGAUUCCGGAGGAGAAAGCUGACGUGAAGAUGUUGAUGGAACGCGUGGUACAGUUGGUUCGGGAGGGAGUGACGGGCAUGGAUCUCCUGGAGGUUUUCCUUAGGCGUCGUAUCCAGCCCCUUCAGUUCCGAAGCCACUGCAUGUGGUUGUACUGUGGGACUGAAGACGAGACUCGAGUCCAUCCAGAAGCAGUCGACGAUGUCACUCUGGAGAGAUGGAUGGCCGCCGUUACCGGAAACAAGGAUAGCCCACGCGGAGCCAGAAGGAUUCCUCCACUCGACCACAACAGUGAUCCAAACAAGGCCCUCACCGAGCUGUACUCGAUGCCCAAUGGAGCACAGGCUCUGACUGAGGAGGGUGAGGCGAGUGGGGGCGAGAGCCAGGAGGAGGAGGAGUGGGACUCGGACGUUGCUGAGGAUGAUGAUGACGAUGACGACGAUGACGGUGAUGAAGAUGACGCUGAAGACGAGGAAGAAGAGGAGGAGGAGGUCGUACCACCGCGCUCAGAAAGGCGGUCGAAGCUUGUCCACGACCCUUCGACUGAACGUGGCAAGGGAGUUGCGACCGUUGCACAGUCGACCAAGCGCCCUCGGACCACCUCUCCGGUGCCGACUGAAAAGGCGCCGAAGCAGCCCAGGGCGGCUCCGUCAAAGCCGACCAAGCUCCUGCCGAAGAUGAAGGUGUCCAUCCCCACCAUAUCAGGUGCUGCUACUUCUGAGACCUCAGCCCGGGCUGAUGACCAUGAGAUGGAGGACGCAGCAACCUCAAAACCAGCUCCACCCAAUGUUGUUAUCACUCUCCCUGAUGAUGAUGAGGAUGAGGAAUCGCUGAAGCGCAGAAGGAGUAGGAAAGCGUCCGCCAGCAGGGUGCCCCAGGAUGUGACGGCGCCUGAGACUCUGAUUGCGGAGGAAGAGAACACCACUCGACAUACUGUGUCCUUCGCAGAUCCACUGACGAGUGCUCAGCAGCCCUCCCUCUUCACGACGCACCACGUCCCAGAGGACCAAGCUGGCGCCGCGAAGGAGGCGAUACGCCAGGCAGGGAUCAUGAUGGAGCAGUUAAGGACCAUCCGGGAUGCGAGCCAGGCAGCUUACGACACCAGUUCCGCCCUUCAAAGCAAUGUUCAGAACUCCUGUGAUCUUGUGGCUCGCUACUCUGAGCUGGAAAACAAGCACGUUCAGCUCGAGCUGAACUUGAAGCUGGUUCAGGAGAAACUGACGAAGGCAAAGAAGGAGACCGAAUGUAAGGUACGGGAGGCCCAACAGAAGAAAGACCUUGAACUAGCUGAGAAGAUCAAGCUUGCUGACGAGAAGUUAGCUUCAGUCACCAAGCUUGAACAAGACAAUACCAAUCUGAAAGCUGCUCUUGGGAUCGCCAACAAGGAGGUCAGUCAACUGAAAACUGAUAAAGCUGCCCUGACCGACCAAGUCAGUAAGUUGACUGGGAAGAAAAAUGAUCUGGAGGCCUUCCUGAGUGGUCUUGCCAAGAAGCUGUUUCUUAUGCUUGAAGUUCUGGAGUCUGAUGUACAGUAUAGGAUUUCGGAAUACAUGGAAAUUCUCAAGGAUAUAAACAACCUGAAGAUUCUAUUUAGUUCGAGCAAUUCUUAA